Small nucleolar RNA from Suncus etruscus (white-toothed pygmy shrew), 132 nucleotides. RefSeq annotates it as small nucleolar RNA SNORA72. The record is from RefSeq and is a predicted model, not a curated record. Lineage: Eukaryota; Metazoa; Chordata; Mammalia; Eulipotyphla; Soricidae. The transcript has a single exon.
CUGUGAAUUUUAUUGCUGUUCUGAAUUAGUCAAAAUCAUGACAGGCUAUACAUUUGCUAUAUUAAGACCAUGCAUGUUCAGUCCUAGUUCUUUACCCACAUAGGUCUGGUCUUAGAAAUACUGUUGAUAAGU